GCCAGACUCCUACGGGAGGCAGCAGUGGGGGAUAUUGCACAAUGGGGGGAACCCUGAUGCAGCGACGCCGCGUGGGUGAAGAAGCGCCUCGGCGCGUAAAGCCCUGUCAGCAGGGAAGAAAAUGACGGUACCUGACUAAGAAGCCCCGGCUAACUACGUGCCAGCAGCCGCGGUAAUACGUAGGGGGCAAGCGUUAUCCGGAUUUACUGGGUGUAAAGGGAGCGUAGACGGUGCAGCAAGUCUGGAGUGAAAGGCAGGGGCCCAACCCCUGGACUGCUCUGGAAACUGUUGUACUUGAGUGCAGGAGAGGUAAGUGGAAUUCCUAGUGUAGCGGUGAAAUGCGUAGAUAUUAGGAGGAACACCAGUGGCGAAGGCGGCUUACUGGACUGUAACUGACGUUGAGGCUCGAAAGCGUGGGGAGCAAACAGGAUUAGAUACCCGAGUA
Molecule: ribosomal RNA, 445 nt
Filed under: uncultured bacterium
Lineage: Bacteria
Description: bacterial SSU rRNA
Rfam family: Bacterial small subunit ribosomal RNA
Source: RNAcentral